This 400-nucleotide ribosomal RNA is filed under the name uncultured bacterium. RNAcentral describes it as "bacterial SSU rRNA". It matches the Rfam family "Bacterial small subunit ribosomal RNA", at positions 28 to 430 of the family's 1533-position model. The record is from RNAcentral.
GAUAAACGCUGGCGGCGUGCAUGAGACAUGCAAGUCGAACGGACGAUCGAGGCUUGCUUCGAUCGUUAGUGGCGGACGGCUGAGUAACGCGUAGGUGACCUGCCCCGAAGUGGGGAAUAACUGCCCGAAAGGGUGGCUAAUACCGCAUGUGGUGGUGUGUUCAAUCACACCAGUAAAGCCGCAAGGCGCUUCGGGAGGGGCCUGCGUCCGAUUAGCUCGUUGGUGGGGUAACGGCUCACCAAGGCGACGAUCAGUAGGUGGUCUGAGAGGACGAUCACCCAGACUGGGACUGGGACACGGCCCAGACUCCUACGGGAGGCAGCAGUCGGGAAUUUUGCGCAAUGGACGAAAGUCUGACGCAGCAACGCCGCGUGAGGGAUGACGGCCUCGGUGUAACUAC